This 201-nucleotide long non-coding RNA is filed under the name Prunus persica (peach). Its description in RNAcentral is "long non-coding RNA (PPER_LNC000588)". The record is from RNAcentral. Lineage: Eukaryota; Viridiplantae; Streptophyta; Magnoliopsida; Rosales; Rosaceae.
AACAACUGUAUCUGCUACUUAAAGAACUGUGGGGAUUGAAUCCAUCAGAUGAGAGAGCCAAUCUCAAGUUCCUCGGCUCUUUACCAAACUCGGGCCAUUUAUCAGCAACAAGUUUCCAAGACGGGGAAUCCGCUGGAUCAGACAUAUGACCAUCAACUGAUUUUCCAACAGCAUGCCAAGUCAAACUCUUAGCUGUUUUAU